UACAGAGGUCCCAAGCGUUGUUCGGACUCACUGGGCGUAAAGGGUGCGUAGGUGGCAAUGAAAGUUUGAUGUGAAAUCUCCGGGCUCAACCCGGAAAAUGCAUUGAAAACUCCAUGGCUGGAGGAUUGGAGGGGGGACUGGAAUUCUCGGUGUAGCAGUGAAAUGCGUAGAUAUCGAGAGGAACACCAGUGGCGAAGGCGAGUCCCUGGACAAAUCCUGACACUGAGGCACGAAAGCUAGGGGAGCAAACAGG
RNAcentral lists this unclassified non-coding RNA (253 nucleotides) under uncultured Verrucomicrobiota bacterium. RNAcentral describes it as "uncultured Verrucomicrobia bacterium contains 16S-23S intergenic spacer region". It matches the Rfam family "Bacterial small subunit ribosomal RNA", at positions 524 to 776 of the family's 1533-position model. Lineage: Bacteria; Pseudomonadati; Verrucomicrobiota. The record is from RNAcentral.